This 575-nucleotide ribosomal RNA is filed under the name Alcaligenes sp. HPC43. RNAcentral's name for it is "partial 16S ribosomal RNA". It matches the Rfam family "Bacterial small subunit ribosomal RNA", at positions 72 to 644 of the family's 1533-position model. Lineage: Bacteria; Pseudomonadati; Pseudomonadota; Betaproteobacteria; Burkholderiales; Alcaligenaceae. The record is from RNAcentral.
UAAGACUUUGUUGUACUGNNNNCNUCCCCNNNGGUUNAAGUNNNUGUAUNNGAGCGGUGCCCAGAUAGNCGGGGGAUAACUACUCGAAAGCGUAUCUGAUACCGCAUACGCCCUACGGGGGAAAGCAGGGGAUCGGAAGACCUUGCACUAUUGGAGCGGCCUAUAUCGGAUUANCUAGUUGGUGGGGUAACGGCUCACCAAGGCGACUAUCCGUAGCUGGUUUGAGAGGACGACCAGCCACACUGGGACUGAGACACGGCCCAGACUCCUACGGGAGGCAGCAGUGGGGAAUUUUGGACAAUGGGGGAAACCCUGAUCCAGCCAUCCCGCGUGAGCGAUGAAGGCCUUCGGGUUGUAAAGCACUUUUGGCAGGAAAGAAACGUCGCGGGUUAAUACCUCGCGGAACUGACGGUACCUGCAGAAUAAGCACCGGCUAACUACGUGCCAGCAGCCGCGGUAAUACGUAGGGUGCAAGCGUUAAUCGGAAUUUCUGGGCUAAAGCGUGCGCAGCGGUUCGGAAAGAAGAUGUGAAAUCCAGAGCUUAACUUUGGAACUGCAUUUUAACUACCGGCUAG